CCUACGGGAGGCAGCAGUGGGGAAUUUUGGACAAUGGGCGAAAGCCUGAUCCAGCCAUUCCGCGUGCAGGAUGAAGGCCCUCGGGUUGUAAACUGCUUUUGUACAGAACGAAAAGGUUUCUACUAAUACUAGGAGCUCAUGACGGUACUGUAAGAAUAAGCACCGGCUAACUACGUGCCAGCAGCCGCGGUAAUACGUAGGGUGCAAGCGUUAAUCGGAAUUACUGGGCGUAAAGCGUGCGCAGGCGGUUAUAUAAGUCAGAUGUGAAAUCCCCGGGCUCAACCUGGGAACUGCAUUCGAGACUGUAUAGCUAGAGUACGGUAGAGGGGGAUGGAAUUCCGCGUGUAGCAGUGAAAUGCGUAGAUAUGCGGAGGAACACCGAUGGCGAAGGCAAUCCCCUGGACCUGUACUGACGCUCAUGCACGAAGACGUGGGAGGACGAACAGAGUAGUAUACCUACGUAGUACGACGACCUAACCG
RNAcentral lists this ribosomal RNA (480 nucleotides) under uncultured bacterium. RNAcentral's name for it is "bacterial SSU rRNA". It matches the Rfam family "Bacterial small subunit ribosomal RNA", at positions 338 to 808 of the family's 1533-position model. The record is from RNAcentral.